Long non-coding RNA from Brienomyrus brachyistius, 1711 nucleotides. RefSeq lists it as uncharacterized. The transcript is spliced from 4 exons. The record is from RefSeq and is a predicted model, not a curated record. Lineage: Eukaryota; Metazoa; Chordata; Actinopteri; Osteoglossiformes; Mormyridae.
AGGUUGUUGUGUGUUGCGUGAACAAUGCACCACUGUAAGUUAAGGAGACUUCACGGCACGUGAAGCCUCAGAAACGUGUGUGUGUGUGUUUAGGGGGACGGGGGGUUCAGGGUUGAUUUGGUCCGCACCAGUGUUGAAACCAAAUCCACGCCCUCGAUACAACCACACACACACACUGGCAUUGCGAUUUGUAACAUGGAUGGAUAGCGAUACAAAAUGCUUAAUCAGCUAAGAAUAAACAAUUAUGAGUAAGCACUUUUUGCCCCAGUAUGCAUGUAUGUAUAAAACAUGUUAUCGUCCCAAACUUCAGAGUAAACCGGGAAAUAAAAAUUAUCUCCCAGAUUAAUCAGCACCUUGCAGUGCUGUACAGCUCAGUACGUUUCUCUCAGCUAUUUAUUCUUAUUAACCAGACAUGUAGUGCACAGCUGCGGUUGGUUCAAUUAAACGAGCAGGCGCCCCCGCCCCCGUAGAAAUCCCUUUAUAGCGCCCCCUCCCGGCGAUCCUCCGCAGCACCACCUGACCCUGUUCAGCUCCUCCCCCGGGUGCCUAGCAGCUCCUUUCUUUUUAUUGCCAGCAAGACAAAAUGGUGAGGUGUCCACUGCUUCAAUCUAAAGCGAUCCUUCGCCAUGCAGAUAAUAAAUCUCCGUAGGAUCGACGGGGAUCGGGAGUUGAAAGCCAUGCCAAGCCGCCCGGUAAAAUUUCAAGGCCCCUGAUCUGUGGGACAGGAUGAAGGAGGAUGUGCUCAAACAGCUGGAUGACUUAAAGAUGGAGCUGUCCCACCAGCCUGUCUCCAAGCCAUGUUGUCCGUAAAUCCAUCGCCAGAGUCCUGACUUAUCCACCAGGCUGAGGGAGAACUUGAGGAAGCAUUAUAAGGGUAAAAAGUCCAAGCAUCUGUAUCUGAGGCCCAAGAAGAUGCAGCUUUGACUUAACCAGCAUACGGAGGGUUUGAUGACCAAGAAAACGCAGCGGAUGUUACAGCUGUAUUCCACCCACGAGUUUGCAGUCAAGGACUAAGCAAUCUGAAAAUGACAUUUCCAUGUAAAUAUAUGGUGAACUAAUCAAACGUGGGACAGCACUAAAGUCAAAAGUAAACAAAAAUUUUUUUUUUUCAAAAAUGUGCUUUGUUUUAAAACAAAUCUCCACAGCCUUAAACAAUGUACCCAUUAUAUGGUUCUAGCAGCAUAAGGCAAAGCUUAAGUGUCUCACCUGAUGUCCGACUUUUGCUGAACUCACCCUAUUGUAUCUGUAUGGAAUACAGUGAAAGAAAGUGGCACUCGAUUCUAGAUCCUGCUGUUCUUGGGACUCGGUUAGCGUAUAAUCCAGCUUUGCGCUCUGGCCUCCUUGGAAGAGGCUCCUGUACAUCCACGGCUUGUAUUUUGAUGAGGAGUUAGAGGAUGGAUGGAUGGAUGGUUGGUUUAAGGGCUGCUUGGACAACAGGUUAGGAUUGUAGAUGCUGUAUCUCCGGCUACGGUGGAUGGGCUCUUCCUCCAGCUGCUCCGCCCCUCCAGCAUGAAAAUUGAUAUCCCACCUUUGGGCUUACAAAAGAGCACACAACACUUUAUGAAUUCGAUUUUAUUUCUAAAAAUCAAAGCACACUUGAUUUGAUGCUUCAGUGAUGAAUAUCAUGGCAAACCAAAUGUACUUUUUGAAUGAUAUACAAUGGGCUGCAGUGAAGGAAUUCACUUGUCAAAUAAAGAUUCUGUCUACCAUA